RNAcentral lists this ribosomal RNA (230 nucleotides) under uncultured bacterium. RNAcentral's name for it is "partial 16S ribosomal RNA". It matches the Rfam family "Bacterial small subunit ribosomal RNA", at positions 333 to 580 of the family's 1533-position model. The record is from RNAcentral.
GAAGCCCUACGGGGGGCAGCAGUGGGGAAUAUUGCACAAUGGGCGAAAGCCUGAUGCAGCGACGCCGCGUGAGCGAAGAAGUAUUUCGGUAUGUAAAGCUCUAUCAGCAGGGAAGAAAAUGACGGUACCUGACUAAGAAGCCCCGGCUAACUACGUGCCAGCAGCCGCGGUAAUACGUAGGGGGCAAGCGUUAUCCGGAUUUACUGGGUGUAAAGGGAGCGUAGACGGCA